GACGAACGCUGGCGGCGUGCUUAACACAUGCAAGUCGAACGGAAAGGCCCUGCUUUUGUGGGGUGCUCGAGUGGCGAACGGGUGAGUAACACGUGAGUAACCUGCCCUUUACUUUGGGAUAACUUCAGGAAACUGGGGCUAAUACCGGAUAGGAGCUCCUGCUGCAUGGUGGGGGUUGGACAGUUUCGGCGGUUGGUGAUGGACUCGCGGCUUAUCAGCUUGUUGGUGGGGUAGUGGCUUACCAAGGCUUGGACGGGUAGCCGGCCUGAGAGGGUGACCGGCCACAUUGGGACUGAGAUACGGCCCAGACUCCUACGGGAGGCAGCAGUGGGGAAUAUUGCACAAUGGGCGGAAGCCUGAUGCAGCAACGCCGCGUGCGGGAUGACGGCCUUCGGGUUGUAAACCGCUUUCGCCUGUGACGAAGCGUGAGUGACGGUAAUGGGUAAAGAAGCACCGGCUAACUACGUG
RNAcentral lists this ribosomal RNA (468 nucleotides) under uncultured bacterium. Its description in RNAcentral is "partial 16S ribosomal RNA". It matches the Rfam family "Bacterial small subunit ribosomal RNA", at positions 28 to 507 of the family's 1533-position model. The record is from RNAcentral.